This 24-nucleotide unclassified non-coding RNA is filed under the name Mus musculus (house mouse). RNAcentral's name for it is "oocyte_clustered_small_RNA12380". The record is from RNAcentral. Lineage: Eukaryota; Metazoa; Chordata; Mammalia; Rodentia; Muridae.
UGGUCUGUGUGCCGGAUCCUCCCA